This 484-nucleotide ribosomal RNA is filed under the name uncultured bacterium. RNAcentral's name for it is "partial 16S ribosomal RNA". It matches the Rfam family "Bacterial small subunit ribosomal RNA", at positions 29 to 507 of the family's 1533-position model. The record is from RNAcentral.
AGUGAACGCUGGCGGCAGGCCUAACACAUGCAAGUCGAGCGGCAGCGCGGGGGCAACCCUGGCUGCGAGCGGCGGACGGGUGAGGAAUUCGUCGGAAUAUGCCUUUCUGUGGUGGAUAACGUAGUGAAACAUACGCUAAUACCGCAUACGUCCUACGGGCGAAAGUGGGGGACCGCAGGGCCUUACGCAGAAAGAUGAGUCGACGACCGAUUAGCUAGUUUGUGGGGUAAAGGCCCACCAAGGCGACGAUCGGUAGCUGGUCUGAGAGGAUGAUCAGCCACACUGGGACUGAGACAGGGCCCAGACUCCUACGGGAGGCAGCAGUGGGGAAUAUUGGACAAUGGGCGCAAGCCUGAUCCAGCCAUGCCGCGUGUGUGAAGAAGGCCUUCGGGUUGUAAAGCACUUUUGUCCGGAAAGAAAAGCAUGGGGCUAAUACCUUCGGGGGAUGACGGUACCGGAAGAAUAAGCACCGGCUAACUUCGUG